This 241-nucleotide long non-coding RNA is filed under the name Panicum hallii. Its description in RNAcentral is "long non-coding RNA (PHAL_LNC000683)". The record is from RNAcentral. Lineage: Eukaryota; Viridiplantae; Streptophyta; Magnoliopsida; Poales; Poaceae.
AAUUCCGAUUUUCUGGGUCUAGUGAAUAAAUGGAUAGAGCCUGGCUCUAAUUCUGAUAAAAUAAAAAGCAACGAGCUUAACUUCUUAAUUGGAAGGAUUCCCCGAUCUAAUUAGACGUUAAAAAUAUAUUAGUGCCUGAUGCGGGGAAAGGUUAGGUUUUCCUAUGAGUGGACCCUUUACUUUUUUUUUAGAAAUCCUAAUUAUUCUUGAUUAUGGAUUGAAAAAGGAUGUUAUGAAUUGA